GACGAACACUGGCGCCGUGCUUAACACAUGCAAGUCGAACGGAAAGGCCCUCCUUUUGUGGCUUUCUCGAUGGGCCAACGGGUUGUUAACACGUGAGUAACCUGCCUUUUACUUUGGGAUAACUUCAGGAAACUUGGACUAAUACCGGAUAGAUUCUCCUGCUUCAUGGUGGUGGUUUCAAAGUUUCGGCGGUUGGGUAUGGACUCGCUGAUUAUCAGCUUGUUGGUGGGGUAGUGGCUUACCAAGGCUUUGACGGGUAGCCGGCCUGAGAGGGUGACCGGCGCCAUUGGGACUGAGAUACGGACCAGACUCCUCAGGGAGGCAGUAGUGGGGAAUAUUGCACAAUGGGAGGAAGCCUGAUGCAGAAACGGCGCGUGCUGGAUUACGGCCGUCGGCUUGUCACCCGCUUUUGCAUGUGACGAAGGGUGAGUGAGGGUAAUGGGUAAAGCAGCCCCGGCUACCUCCGUG
RNAcentral lists this ribosomal RNA (468 nucleotides) under uncultured bacterium. Its description in RNAcentral is "partial 16S ribosomal RNA". It matches the Rfam family "Bacterial small subunit ribosomal RNA", at positions 28 to 507 of the family's 1533-position model. The record is from RNAcentral.